Molecule: ribosomal RNA, 383 nt
Filed under: uncultured bacterium
Lineage: Bacteria
Description: bacterial SSU rRNA
Rfam family: Bacterial small subunit ribosomal RNA
Source: RNAcentral
AUUGAACGCUGGCGGCAUGCCUUACACAUGCAAGUCGAACGGCAGCACGGGGCAACCUGGUGGCGAGUGGCGAACGGGUGAGUAAUGCAUCGGAACGUGCCAUUGAGUGGGGGAUAACGUAGCGAAAGUUGCGCUAAUACCGCAUAUUCUGUGAGCAGGAAAGCAGGGGACCGCAAGGCCUUGCGCUCUUUGAGCGGCCGAUGUCAGAUUAGCUAGUUGGUGAGGUAACGGCUUACCAAGGCGACGAUCUGUAGCGGGUCUGAGAGGAUGAUCCGCCACACUGGAACUGAGACACGGUCCAGACUCCUACGGGAGGCAGCAGUGGGGAAUUUGGACAAUGGGCGCAAGCCUGAUCCAGCAAUGCCGCGUGCAGGAUGAAGGCC